Molecule: long non-coding RNA, 217 nt
Organism: Cheilinus undulatus (humphead wrasse)
Lineage: Eukaryota; Metazoa; Chordata; Actinopteri; Labriformes; Labridae
Exons: 3
Source: RefSeq, a predicted model, not a curated record
GAACACCUGAGGAGGUUUUAUGUCUUUCCUGUUAAAACCAAGACAUUUCUCACCACAGUGAUGAGACGCUGCAUCAGAGUAAUCCCACAGCGCCCCUCAGUGGCUGCUUAUUGCGAACGCUGAAAGGACUCCUACCAGCAACAAGAGAACAGCGAGUGUCACACUGAGCCCGACGAAGAGCGCCGUCUUCUGUAUGGGCAGGCUGCAGUCAUCGCUC